RNAcentral lists this long non-coding RNA (288 nucleotides) under Phasianus colchicus (ring-necked pheasant). RNAcentral describes it as "lncRNA (ENSPCLG00000004263.1)". The record is from RNAcentral. Lineage: Eukaryota; Metazoa; Chordata; Aves; Galliformes; Phasianidae.
GUACAGCAUGAUGAUCACUGUCAACAUCUGCAAGAAAUGACACGGGAAUAUGAUGAGUCACCUAAUUUCAAAAUCCCACUUUGGUACCAGAACAGAAACUUCACCGUGCUGGAAGAGUACUCCUAUAGACCAGGCUUCGCCCCUGGCCAAUUCACGUCAUUCAGAAAAUGGUCCUUUUGAGGAACCCUGGAUCAAAAAUUCUCUAAGUUCAGGAAUGCUACUUCUGUCUAGAUUAUAGAACUUUAUGAAAAGAAUCUCUAGAAUUUUAGUUUAAAAAGGUAUUGCCAC